GAUGAACGCUGGCGGCGUGCCUAAUACAUGCAAGUCGAGCGAAUGGAUUAAGAGCUUGCUCUUAUGAAGUUAGCGGCGGACGGGUGCGUAACACGUGGGUAACCUGCCCAUAAGACUGGGAUAACUCCGGGAAACCGGGGCUAAUACCGGAUAACAUUUUGAACCGCAUGGUUCGAAAUUGAAAGGCGGCUUCGGCUGUCACUUAUGGAUGGACCCGCGUCGCAUUAGCUAGUUGGUGAGGUAACGGCUCACCAAGGCAACGAUGCGUAGCCGAGCUGAGAGGGUGAUCGGCCACACUGGGACUGAGACACGGCCCAGACUCCUACGGGAGGCAGCAGUAGGGAAUCUUCCGCAAUGGACGAAAGUCUGACGGAGCAACGCCGCGUGAGUGAUGAAGGCUUUCGGGUCGUAAAACUCUGUUGUUAGGGAAGAACAAGUGCUAGCUGAAUAAGCUGGCACCUUGACGGUACCUAACCAGAAAGCCACGGCUAACUACGUGCCAGCCGCCGCGGUAA
This 515-nucleotide ribosomal RNA is filed under the name uncultured bacterium. RNAcentral's name for it is "partial 16S ribosomal RNA". It matches the Rfam family "Bacterial small subunit ribosomal RNA", at positions 28 to 523 of the family's 1533-position model. The record is from RNAcentral.